RNAcentral lists this ribosomal RNA (609 nucleotides) under uncultured bacterium. RNAcentral's name for it is "bacterial SSU rRNA". It matches the Rfam family "Bacterial small subunit ribosomal RNA", at positions 8 to 612 of the family's 1533-position model. The record is from RNAcentral.
AGAGUUUGAUCAUGGCUCAGGAUGAACGCUAGCGGCAGGCCUAACACAUGCAAGUCGAACGGUAACAUGAGAGCUUGCUCUUGAUGACGAGUGGCGCACGGGUGCGUAACGCGUAUGCAACCUACCUUUUACUGAGGGAUAGCCCAGAGAAAUUUGGAUUAAUACCUCAUAGUAUCAUAAAUGUUCAUGCAUUAAUGAUUAAAACUUCGGUGGUAAAAGAUGGGCAUGCGUAAGAUUAGCUAGUUGGUAAGGUAACGGCUUACCAAGGCGACGAUCUUUAGGGGGCCUGAGAGGGUGGUCCCCCACACUGGUACUGAGACACGGACCAGACUCCUACGGGAGGCAGCAGUGAGGAAUAUUGGUCAAUGGACGAAAGUCUGAACCAGCCAUGCCGCGUGAAGGAAGAAGGUGUUCUGCAUCGUAAACUUCUUUUAUAUAGGAAGAAACUUCUCUACGUGUAGAGAACUGACGGUACUAUAUGAAUAAGGACCGGCUAACUCCGUGCCAGCAGCCGCGGUAAUACGGAGGGUCCAAGCGUUAUCCGGAUUUAUUGGGUUUAAAGGGUCCGUAGGCGGAUUUUUAAGUCAGUGGUGAAAGCCUGCAGCUCAA